AUUGAACGCUGGCGGCAGGCUUAACACAUGCAAGUCGAACGGUAACAUAAAGAAGCUUGCUUCCUUUGAUGACGAGUGGCGGACGGGUGAGUAAUGCUUGGGAAUCUAGCUUAUGGAGGGGGAUAACUACGGGAAACUGUAGCUAAUACCGCGUAGAAUCGAGAGAUGAAAGUGUGGGACCUUCGGGCCACAUGCCAUAGGAUGAGCCCAAGUGGGAUUAGGUAGUUGGUGAGGUAAAGGCUCACCAAGCCGACGAUCUCUAGCUGGUCUGAGAGGAUGACCAGCCACACUGGGACUGAGACACGGCCCAGACUCCUACGGGAGGCAGCAGUGGGGAAUAUUGCGCAAUGGGGGCAACCCUGACGCAGCCAUGCCGCGUGAAUGAAGAAGGCCUUCGGGUUGUAAAGUUCUUUCGGUAGCGAGGAAGGCAUUUAGUUUAAUU
RNAcentral lists this ribosomal RNA (442 nucleotides) under Terrahaemophilus aromaticivorans. Its description in RNAcentral is "bacterial SSU rRNA". It matches the Rfam family "Bacterial small subunit ribosomal RNA", at positions 30 to 468 of the family's 1533-position model. The record is from RNAcentral. Lineage: Bacteria; Pseudomonadati; Pseudomonadota; Gammaproteobacteria; Pasteurellales; Pasteurellaceae.